Molecule: long non-coding RNA, 445 nt
Filed under: Homo sapiens (human)
Lineage: Eukaryota; Metazoa; Chordata; Mammalia; Primates; Hominidae
Description: non-protein coding lnc-SLC39A11-10:34
Source: RNAcentral
GAAACAGAAGCUCUGGCAAUAGUCGGCUGCUUGCUCAAGGUGACACAGUUAAUGGAGAGGCAGAUCUCUGGAUGCGGCGUCUCAGGGGCCACGCCUGCCUCCCCCGCCGCCGCGCGCAUACACAGAAUUCCUCAUGCUGCUGCUAUCACGGAACUCAGGGUUCAUCUCAAAGAUCUCUCUUUGCAUAAUGUGUGUGUGGACCUGCCUACAGAUACAUUGGGUGGAAGCCCUAGGAGCCUCAAGCAAGUCUGAAGAUUGGCCCUGAGAACCACUGUUCUCAUUAUCAGCAAGGAUUUUAUCCAGAGACCUCUAGGAAUACAUUCACUAAAAUGUGACUGUGGUCCUGUGGUUGUAUGAACUCUGGCUCUUCUCGUGAAUUACAUUUCACUGGAGUCAGGUGUUUUCUGUAAACAUCGUUAAACCACGAGACCAACUGCAUUGAACA